UGCCAGCAGCCGCGGUAAUACGUGGGGAGCAAGCGUUGUUCGGAUUUACUGGGCGUAAAGAGCUCGUAGGCGGACAUGUAAGUCGGAUGUGAAAUCCUUUGGCUCAACCAGAGAACUGCACCCGAAACUGCAUGUCUUGAGUUCAACAGAGGGAAUCGGAAUCGGUUGUGUAGCGGUGAAAUGCGUAGAGAUAACCGAGAACACCAGUGGCGAAGGCGGCUUUCUGGACCGAUACUGACGCUGAGACGCGAAAGCGUGGGGAGCAAACAGGAUUAGAUA
This 279-nucleotide ribosomal RNA is filed under the name uncultured bacterium. Its description in RNAcentral is "partial 16S ribosomal RNA". It matches the Rfam family "Bacterial small subunit ribosomal RNA", at positions 506 to 784 of the family's 1533-position model. The record is from RNAcentral.